GUGUCGUCUAAAAAAUAAGCAAAACCCAUUAUGCCAACAGUAAUAGGAGUACAUGACAAACGAUUAUCAUGAUCUUCAAACGAACAGAAAUUUCAGAACACAGAACUUUCAAAGAGUCACACAACCAAUCACCAUAAACGCUGAUGAUGUCAGAAAAAGUAACACUGUAUGAAUGACUAGCCACACUUAUCCAAAAAUUAGAAGAACGCACACUUGGUAAGUUAUAAACAGAAAAGUCAAAGGUGGGCACUUCCGAAAUUACCAUGAUGCAUUUCAAAAUAAUAACAAAAAAUACUUUCUAAACCAACUUUUAUAUUACCCAUAUAGUGACCUUCUAGUUUCGUGUUUGACACAAAUUAGAACAUUGCAGAUCAGGUGAUUACAAGCCUCUGUGGGUGAUACAAAGUACACAACUUCAAAAACAAGGACGGGCGCGCGGGGGAUGGGGACGGGGUGGGGGGUUGAGAAGGUGUAACUUCGACUCAUAAGUUUCUGUUGAAUUAUAGAUGGGCCUUGGCCUCAUAUAACAAUAAUUCAUGGUUAAUCUCUAAGGCCCAUGUGGGGUGUCAUGAUACGGUGGAAAGUUUAGUAACAUACUACUAGCGGAGUAGAGUUGAGACCUCUUUAUAAGAGAUUCUCUUCUACAUACUAUUGGAGCUUGAGAAGAGGAGUAGUACACACAUGCUCCUCCUCUGUUGCCCGCCUUGCCACGCCUGGCCCGGGCGCGUCAUGUUUCGUGAAUGAGCCGAGCCGAGCUCAGAUCUAUGUCAUGCGUGCACUUAAUUUUUGCCGGUCACAAACGGAUAAUUAAUUAAAGAUCAAUUAUGAGUCGCUAAUGGACGUGCCACUAAUUCGAGACGCUGGAUUGUGGUAUGCUACUGACUCGGUUGUGGGCCUAAGCCGAGGCCCGCGACUCCCUACCAGAUAUAUUUGAGGCAUUGGCAACCCCAGCCGACACUUGCUCAUGCAUAAACCGCCACUAUCGUUCCACUCAUUGUUGUUGCUUCUGGCAAUCCCAUCCGUCGACCGCGUGCACGACCGUUAGGGAGAACAUGCUUCCGGAACUCCGCCCUUUGCGACUUUACACCGGGAGAAGGGUGAAAAGGUUUUUGAGUAACGCCUUGGCACGACUGCUUGUUCGUCUGUCUCUGUCCUCUGCUUCAACUCCCUCCUCCACACCGACACCAUGGUUGACGAUGCUGCCCAGAAGAAGGCCGCUAAGGAAGCCACUGCCCUCGCCGCCUCUCUGUCCUGGCCUACUGAAGGGUAUGAUCUAUCCAUCCCCUAUCUACUUGUUUAUGUGCUAGCCGUAUUUAAUGUCUUCAUGGAUGUUUUGGUUCUAUGUUCGGUACGUGCUCACAUGUUUACAUAUCGGUAUGAGCUUCGUGUUGUUAAUGCCAUGUUCAUGAUUUAUCUAUGGAUUAAAUCAAUAGAAAUUGCCAACACGCCCAGUAAAGCAAAAAACCUUAUAUUUAUGGGCAUUUUUUGAUUUAAGGAUUUGCUGGUACACUACCUUGUGGCUCACAACAAUGAGUGUGUUCCGGACCGUUGGUGGCACUGCAGUUGAAACGAUUGCUCCUGACAAGAAGAAGGCGUUUAGGGAGGCUACUACCGUCUUUGUCGGAGCCGUUCUGGGUGUGUGUGAGUGUGUGUGAUCGGAGACAAGCUAGUUGACACAUAUCUGCAGAUGGGGGUUGCCAAGAGUUUGGUGAUGCGCUCGAAACUAAGUUCGGUGCAAUCGAUGCUGGACGGGAGUUGUACGCUAUGGAGCAGUUCCAUGAUAGGAUGGUUGAUAGUCGUCCUGUAUUGGACGAGACUUGUGAGGUACAGUGCAUCACUAAGGAGCUCAAGCUCCUGAAGUGUGAGUUAUCGGACAAUUUUGUCAAGGGGUGCAUAAUUGCUAAACUUCCUUCUCAGAGGAAUUUUGUUACUUCUCCCAUGCACCUGAGACGUGAAUUCUCGGUUGAAGAUGUCAUCCAUCAUAUGAAUUUUGGGCAGAAUUUGAGAGAAAGGACUAAGGGGCCGAGGGAUCUUCUAGUGCAAAUAUGGUGCAGAAGAAUUUUCACAAGUUCAAGGGAAACAACACGGUCCAGCAAAAUACUACCUUCAAGAAGGGUAAGAAGAACAACAAGAAAGAUUCUGGCUGCAACACUUGUAGUGAUGAUGGACACUGGUCCAACAGAUGCCCACAGAAGUUAAAGAAGCCAGGACAGAACAUCAAGUUUGUCGAUGUGACCAAAAGCAACAAUUAUAAUGGGGCAUCUGGGUAGGUCGCACGAGAUUGAUUUGUUUUGAUGGGAAUGGCACGCAUGCUUCUAUUCAUGAUGUUGGCACGAUGAAUUUGGAGUCUAGUAAGGAGAAGAUCAUACAGCUUAAGAACGUGUAGCAUGUCCCCGCUAUAAAAAAACUCCCUAGUGUCUCCCUUCUAUGUAAAGAAGCCUUUCAGAUAGUAUUCAAGUCUAAUAAAGUAGUCCUAUCGAGAUAUGGAUUCUUCGUUCGAAAGGGAUAUGAAUGUGGUCGUGAACCAUAUUCAUUCAAGUGUGAAUGAAUCUAAGGUUUGGCAUUCACGCCUUUAUCACAUUAAUUUCGAUUGUAUGAUGCAGCGGCUAAGAUGAAUUUAAUCAUGAGUUUCACUCUA
This is a long non-coding RNA of Hordeum vulgare subsp. vulgare (domesticated barley), 2638 nucleotides long. RefSeq lists it as uncharacterized. The record is from RefSeq and is a predicted model, not a curated record. The transcript has 2 exons. NCBI's taxonomy places the organism in Eukaryota, Viridiplantae, Streptophyta, Magnoliopsida, Poales, Poaceae.